Molecule: non-coding RNA, 45 nt
Filed under: Schistosoma mattheei
Lineage: Eukaryota; Metazoa; Platyhelminthes; Trematoda; Strigeidida; Schistosomatidae
Source: RNAcentral
AUCCGGCUGACGAGUCUCAAAUAGGAUGAAACGCGCGUCCUGAAU